This 211-nucleotide ribosomal RNA is filed under the name uncultured Actinomycetales bacterium. RNAcentral's name for it is "partial 16S ribosomal RNA". It matches the Rfam family "Bacterial small subunit ribosomal RNA", at positions 120 to 334 of the family's 1533-position model. Lineage: Bacteria; Bacillati; Actinomycetota; Actinomycetes; Actinomycetales. The record is from RNAcentral.
GGUGAUCUGCCCUGCACUUCGGGAUAAGCUUGGGAAACUGGGUCUAAUACCGGAUAGGAGCCAUCUUUAGUGUGGUGGUUGGAAAGUUUUUCGGUUGUAGGAUGAGCUCGCGGCCUAUCAGCUUGUUGGUGGGGUAAUGGCCUACCAAGGCGGCGACGGGUAGCCGGCCUGAGAGGGUGGACGGCCACAUUGGGACUGAGAUACGGCCCAG